GAGUCCAUAGCUUAGUGGUAGAGUAUUUGCUUAGCAUGCAUAAGGACUUGGAUUCA
RNAcentral lists this transfer RNA (56 nucleotides) under Fukomys damarensis (Damara mole-rat). It matches the Rfam family "tRNA", at positions 1 to 55 of the family's 71-position model. From Rfam's summary of the family: Transfer RNA (tRNA) molecules are approximately 80 nucleotides in length. Lineage: Eukaryota; Metazoa; Chordata; Mammalia; Rodentia; Bathyergidae. The record is from Rfam by way of RNAcentral.